AUAUGCCACAGCCUCACAUAAGGAAGAGGAAAAUGGCAGUGUGGGCCAUGAUUGGCAGGUCUGGAUCCAUAGACUGUGAUUUCCAGGAUCACCCAACAGGAAUGAAGACAUUUGGAGAAGAAGCGUUUACUGAAAGGAGAUUCCUGGGCUGGAGGAAAACCAUGAUCUACAGUUCAUGUUGACAGAUAUUGUAUUUUUGGUCCUAGAUCUGACUUUUGAAAUGACUUAUCACAAAUUCAAAUUUAGCAAUCAUGAGUGAAGUACCCACGAUGUGCUAAGCAUCUACCUCUGCAGAUAGAAGAACACUUACUGUUCCUGAGCAUGGGAGGGAAUAGAAGUUCCUGGGUCCUGGCCUCACCUCAUCAGACGAGGGAACUGAGCUGUCAAAACUAAGUGACUUGAUUGAGGCCAUGCAGCUGGCGAGGGGAGGACCAGGAUCUGAACCCAACUGGGUCUCCCAAGCCUGGGCCACUGAACCAUUUCACCUCUUGGAAAAACUUAAUGGUCAGAGUGGCCCACCCAGUCCAUGGACAGCAUGGAGGAUAAACUGCUUCCCUAGAAAUCCUCUCCAGCAUUCUUGCCACCACGACUUUGGGACACAUUGACCAUGAGGAGGAGCUGGUCAAUGAUGGACAGGAGUCCAGAUUAGCAGAGAUGUGGUAAUAAGGACACCGAUGCCUAAAUACUUGAAAUAUCCAAUAGGAAGCAUUCCACCUUUGUGCAAAUGCGAACCACAUCUCACCAAGUUCAGGCCAAGGCUGCCACCGGUGACGUUUUGGAAAAGAAAAAAAAAAGCGGGGGGAGAGGAGAGAAACAGAGAAGCAAGGAAUGCAGAAGAGAGCAGAGGCCACAAAAACAGCAGCAACGUGUCCUGUGUAUUCUGUUUCCUUGUAAAACUAUGAAGCAUGUUAAGGAGAUACUUCAUUUUUUGAGGAUUCAUACUCUUGUUUAUAUUAUAAUAAAAACAACCCAUGUUCUUUCUAAAAAUUUAGGCAAUGCCUUCGUGCACAUAAAAGUAAAACAAAAUCACCUGUAAUCCUACCACACGCAGAUCAGCACUUGCUAAUCUUUUCACAGGGAUCCUAAGAAUAUCCUAUUCUCUAUAGAAUAUAGUUGAUUUAUGUUACCUAAUAACUAACUGUUAACCAUUUUAAAAUUCUUCAGUUUUACAUUAUGCUAGAAAAAAGGAGCCGUCACUCUACGUGACAUUUCUGUAUAUUGGUUUAUUCAUUCAAUAAACAUUUUUUAAGUACCU
This 1255-nucleotide long non-coding RNA is filed under the name Homo sapiens (human). Its description in RNAcentral is "non-protein coding LINC01102:11". Lineage: Eukaryota; Metazoa; Chordata; Mammalia; Primates; Hominidae. The record is from RNAcentral.